AUGGCCUCCCAACUAGGGCCACCGUCGCCGUCGCAGGCGCCGGCGAAGUAUGAUCCAGCGGCCACCACCAUCGCUGACAUCGGCGACGACCUCCUGCGCGAGAUCUUCCUCCGCCUCCCCUCCCUCCCCAGCCUCGUCCGUGCCGCCCUCGCCUGCCGCACCUUCCUCCGCGCCGUCCGCUCCUCCCCCGCCUUCCGCCGCCGCUUCCGGGCGCUCCACCCGCCUCAGAUCCUUGGAUACUUCAGCAACCCCUUGCGCACCGCCAUCCCUGCCUUCGUCCCCUUCCGCAGCCGCUCCGACCCGGACCUCGCCGCCGCCGUGGUCCGCGGCUCCGACUUCUUGUUCACCCGUCUACCGGAAGACGGCGACGACACUAGGUGGGCGUUCAAGGGCGACUGCUCCGGCUACGUCUUCAUCCACAACCAGAGCACCGACCAGAUCGCUGUUUACAACCCCCUCACACAGGCGCUGAAUGUCUUCCCCUACCCACCUCAGGAGGCCUGCGAUUCCCGCUAUCUUUAUUUUCGCAUCAUCUUCUCGGAAGACGACCAGAUGUCGUUCCGCGUGGUAUGUGUUCGUCGCCGCAGGCGGCGGCGAAGAACCAUGGUUCGCUUCUCUGUCUUCUCAUCGGACAGCAGGGAGUGGCAGGGUUUCUCGUGGGUGGACACCUCAAUGCCGCAGGCUGGGGAUGAUGGAGGUGAUAAGUGCAUGCUCUCGUCUUACACUGCUACGCCGGUGGAUGAAUUUGAUAGAUUAGUCUACUGGAAACACAAAAAUCAAGCAUAUAUAGUCGUCCUCAAUGCUGGGACGCUGCAGUUAUCUCGAAUGGAUUUGCCGCCGCACUUGAAAGAUAUGGACUCCACAGAAUUUGAGCUUGGUCUGACAAAGGAUGGGGAGCUCUGUAUGGCUUUCACAGACCAGUUUGGUGCAAACGAAGGGAUGCUUGCUGUUUGGUUUUGGAGAGCUGAUGGUGGUGGUGUUGAUAAAUGGAUGCCGCACAAGAUUUUCCCACUGAACAAAUUUGUUGAUUUCUCUAUGCGUUCAGAAGAGUACUAUGAUGUCACAGCGCAGGUUAUCCGAGUCAUAGAUGGUUUUGUGUACCUGUCUGUUUAUUAUCUGUAUACAAAGUGCUUCCUAUCCUUUUGCCUGGAAACAGAGAAGGUCAACAAGCUCUUUGAGUAUGGACUUGGCGUCCAUCCCUACAUCAUGCCGUGGCCUUCUUCUUUGGUAUGCAACAAGGAGGAUUUAGAAACCAAGGUUACUGGAGAAAAUGUGGCAGAAGAUGGUCCUGUGGGCAUAGAAGAAACUCCCUCUGUUCUUGUCACAGCAUUGCGAUCAUAUAAAGAAGCUCUGAUUAAUGGCGAUGGGGCAAAAGUUGCAGAGAUAGAGGCAUUUCUACUUUCUAUUGAGGACGAGAAGAAGUCUCUAGUUGUAUCUCGAGGAUAA
This 1446-nucleotide ribosomal RNA is filed under the name Triticum aestivum (bread wheat). Its description in RNAcentral is "partial small subunit ribosomal RNA". The record is from RNAcentral. Lineage: Eukaryota; Viridiplantae; Streptophyta; Magnoliopsida; Poales; Poaceae.